GACGAACGCUGGCGGCGUGCUUAACACAUGCAAGUCGAACGGAAAGGCCCUGCUUUUGUGGGGUGCUCGAGUGGCGAACGGGUGAGUAACACGUGAGUAACCUGCCCUUGACUUUGGGAUAACUUCAGGAAACUGGGGCUAAUACCGGAUAGGAGCUCCUGCUGCAUGGUGGGGGUUGGAAAGUUUCGGCGGUUGGGGAUGGACUCGCGGCUUAUCAGCUUGUUGGUGGGGUAGUGGCAUACCAAGGCUUUGACGGGUAGCCGGCCUGAGAGGGUGACCGGCCACAUUGGGACUGAGAUACGGCCCAGACUCCUACGGGAGGCAGCAGUGGGGAAUAUUGCACAAUGGGCGGAAGCCUGAUGCAGCAACGCCGCGUGCGGGGUGACGGCCUUCGGGUUGUAAACCGCUUUCGCCUGUGACGAAGCGUGAGUGACGGUAAUGGGUAAAGAAGCACCGGCUAACUACGUG
This 468-nucleotide ribosomal RNA is filed under the name uncultured bacterium. RNAcentral's name for it is "partial 16S ribosomal RNA". It matches the Rfam family "Bacterial small subunit ribosomal RNA", at positions 28 to 507 of the family's 1533-position model. The record is from RNAcentral.